Long non-coding RNA from Numida meleagris (helmeted guineafowl), 2579 nucleotides. RefSeq lists it as uncharacterized. The record is from RefSeq and is a predicted model, not a curated record. The transcript is spliced from 4 exons. Lineage: Eukaryota; Metazoa; Chordata; Aves; Galliformes; Numididae.
ACUUUUACCCCUAAAAUCCCCAGUUUUAACCCCCAAAUCCCUCUCUUUAAACUCCAAAACUCCCAUUUCUGAUCACAAAAAUCCCCAUGUUUAACCCCAAAUUCCCAGUUUUUAACCAAAAUCCCAACUUUUCACCCCUUAUUGCUGGACGUUUUUGUACUCAUUUUUCUUUCCUUUAUCCCAGUAUGGGAACUGUCAGGUCCCAGCCUGAGCCAGUGAUUGUGCACCUGGUGAGGGGUGUAGCCAGCCCUGCCAGCACAGGUGGGAGCCGUUCAGCUGUGGGAUUGGAGGGGUGGAGCCUGGCUGCAUCCCUCCCUGGGCUCAUUUAAGGGCUGGCAGCCGCAAGGGCAGCAUCUUUAGCUGGAUACUUCCUCCUUUGGAGUGUGGAAUGUGCCCUGGUCCUCAGAAAGGAGUAAGUAAUUUUUUUUUUUAUUUUGGGGCUGGGGUCUCUGCCAUUCUUGGGGGAUAUGAAACUGCUUUUAAGCAGCUGUAUCUGCUGUGCGUGUCCCUACGAUGCCAUUCAGUUUUCUAAAGAAGAUGAAGGUGUUAUCUCCCUUUCUUGGACCUGGUGAUGGAGGGACUGAUGUACCUUCUUUCCUUUCACUACAGCCUCAUUUCUAGAAUGCUUCAAUUAAUCCCGAGGUAAUGCUGGUCAGCUCACCGAGCCUUGCAGCUCUGGGAAUGCCUAGAGCUGCUGCCCUGUUCCACAAAGGUGUUCUGCAUUCUCAAGAUCCUGUUUGCACCAGUACUUCUAACCUUGCUUCCUUCUGCUGGAGCCUCUAUUCUGUCAUUCAUGGUUCUCACCUUGCAAUCUCUGUUCUCGGGUUCUGAACUCAGUUUCUCUGCUCCCACAUUGUCCCAGCCCACUUUGUGACUGCAGUGAAUUUUGUCAGUGAAUUCCACCCAUGCAGAGAGUUGUUUAAGGCUGUUCUGUGCAUCAUGAUCAUGUAUUAUAUGAUGUUCUGUGUCUCUCUUGAUCUCAUCCCGUCACCCAACUCAGUGGGGUUGAAGGAUUGCCGGGGCUCCUCUAAUUAAUGGCUUAAGCACUGGGAAAUCUACGAGAGCAGGUAAUGGAACAUCAUGAGCCCGUUGUUUGUGCAUUGCUUGUAUGUAGGCAGCUUUAGCGAUGGCCGUGGGAGGCUCAUGAAAUGGGGGUUACAAGGGGCUCACCUCAUUCCGUGGGGUCUGUUCUCCCAGCCCCGUAAGCAACAUGGCCGGUGAUAGAGUGAGGUGCUUUGGCCGGGUCCUAAGCUGAAGAAAACUCCUGGACCCCAAUAGCCCUUGGUUUCAUCCUCACUCAGUAUAAUACAGUCUCCACCACUUGAGCAUGCUGACUACAGAUGUUCUGUUCUUGUUUUGCCUGGUUCUCUCCCGUAUCUCCCUUACAAAACUGUCAAUGCUAAUGGAUCUCAGCGCAUAGUCAUCGGAGCACAUCGUGGCUGACCACCACAGGGUCCUAUGGUUCUUGGUGUUUUAACAGCAGAUCUGCCUUUGUUUUUACAGAAAAGAAGGGAUUGUUCUCUUCUGAACCGCUGUAGUUGGGAUCACCCCAGCUAGCCCUGCAGCUGUGGGACCCGAUGGUGUGACAAAGCGAGGCCUCUGGUCUGCCGAACACUGGGACCGGCACAGAGGGGCCCUGUGACCAUUGUGGAUCAUAAUGACAGCUGCACUCAGUGAAUUUCCCAGAGCUGCUCAGCACAUGGAAUUCCCCGCCUGCCCCAGCUGUGCCCUGAUCUCCAAACUCCUUUGCAUCAUCGUGUCUCGCAGCCCCAGGCAUCUUGGUACGGUGCUGCCGGUGGCGGCAGAGAACUGCGGUGCUCCUGAACGGUGCCUGAACUGCAUGGAGAUCUGUGGCUCCUCAUGAAGUCAGCAAGACAUGGAAAUCUGGAUUUCCUGGAAUGCCUCGGAACCCAACUUGUCUGUCUGGUAACUGGUCGCCCAUACAGGUGCCAGCGGAGAACUGUGGUGCUCCUGGGCAGUUCAAGAACUGCACCGAGAUCUGUGGCUCUUCAUGAAGUCAUCAAGAAAUGGAAAUCUGGAUUUCCUGGAAUGCCCUUGAACUCGGCUUUCCUGACUGUGUACUGUUUGCUGUAAUGGGUAAGGGCAACGUACACCUACCACUGUUUCGCCAUGAGGUAGUGUGACUGAAUAUAGUGCUGUUAGAGCUCAGUAGUACACUUUAGGGUACCCUGAAGGCUGCCUGUGCCUUUUCUCCUGAGUUCUCCUUGCCUCUGUCCUUUCCCUCUGUUGUUCUCCUUGUCCCUACCUUAGCCUUUGAUUUCUCUUGGUGUUUUCUUUACCUUGCAUUUGAGUUCUUUCCAGUGUUCUCCGGGCCUUUGGCCUUGGACUUCAGUGCAGUGUUACCCUUGGCGUUGGCGUUGGGCUGGGGCCUUUGGUGCGGCGUUCUCUUUGGCGUUGGGCCUGGGCCUGGGCCUUUGGUGCGGCGUUCUCCUUGGCGUUGGGCCUGGGCCUGGGCCUUUGGUGCGGCGUUCUCCUUGGUGUUGGGCCUGGGCCUGGGCCUUUGGUGCGGCGUUCUCCUUGGCGUUGGGCCUGGGCCUGGGCCUUUGGUGCGGCGUUCU